This is a non-coding RNA of Chionomys nivalis (European snow vole), 405 nucleotides long. The record is from the annotation of a RefSeq genome assembly. NCBI's taxonomy places the organism in Eukaryota, Metazoa, Chordata, Mammalia, Rodentia, Cricetidae.
AUGCCACUAAAGAUGGAAUAUUCCCCAGGCUUCGUUACUACGAUACUCCUCAUACUCACAAGGACCCAUGGAGACUCAGUGACACAGACAGAAGGUCAAGUGACCCUUUCAGAAGAGGAUUUUCUUACUAUACACUGCAACUAUUCAGCCUCAGGGUACCCAGCCCUGUUCUGGUACAUGCAGUACCCAGGAGAAGGUCCACAGCUCCUCUUCAGAGUCUCGAAGGACAACGAGAAGGGAAGCAACAGAGGUUUUGAAGCUACUUAUGAUAAAGGAUCCAGCUCCUUCCACUUGCAGAAAGCCUCGGUCCAGGAGUCAGACUCGGCUGUGUACUACUGUGCUCUGGGUGACACAGUAGUGGAAACCACAGGGGGAGCUGAGCACAAACUCAUCACCAGGGCCUGA